UACCAGCACCCCGAGUGGUCGGGACGUUUAUUGGGCCUAAAGCAUCCGUAGCCGGUUCUACAAGUCUUCCGUUAAAUCCACCUGCUUAACAGAUGGGCUGCGGAAGAUACUAUAGAGCUAGGAGGCGGGAGAGGCAAGCGGUACUCGAUGGGUAGGGGUAAAAUCCGUUGAUCCAUUGAAGACCACCAGUGUCGAAGGCGGCUUGCCAGAACGCGCUCGACGGUGAGGGAUGAAAGCUGGGGGAGCAAACCGG
Molecule: ribosomal RNA, 253 nt
Filed under: uncultured bacterium
Lineage: Bacteria
Description: partial 16S ribosomal RNA
Rfam family: Archaeal small subunit ribosomal RNA
Source: RNAcentral